GACGAACGCUGGCGGCGUGCUUAACACAUGCCAGUCGAACGGAAAGGCCCUGCUUUUGUGGUGUGCUCGAGUGGCGAACGGGUGAGUAACACGUGAGUAACCUGCCCUUGACUUUGGGAUAACUUCAGGAAACUGGGGCUAAUACCGGAUAGGAUCUCCUGCUGCAUGGUGGGGGUUGGAAAGUUUCGGCGGUUGGGGAUGGACUCGCGGCUUAUCAGCUUGUUGGUGGGGUAGUGGCUUACCCAGGCUUUGAGGGGUAGCCGGCCUGAGAGGGUGACCGGCGACAUUGGGACUGAGGUAAGGCCCAGACGGGUACGGUAGGCAGCAGGGGGGAAGAUUGCACAAUGGACGGAGGCCUGAUGCAGCAGCGCCGCGUGCGGGAUAACGGCCUUCGGGGGGAAAACCGCUUUCGCCUGAAACGAACCGUGAUUGACGGUAAUGGGUAAAGAAGCACCGGCUAACUACGUG
RNAcentral lists this ribosomal RNA (468 nucleotides) under uncultured bacterium. RNAcentral describes it as "partial 16S ribosomal RNA". It matches the Rfam family "Bacterial small subunit ribosomal RNA", at positions 28 to 507 of the family's 1533-position model. The record is from RNAcentral.